UACAGAGGUGGCAAGCGUUGUUCGGAAUUACUGGGCGUAAAGGGCGCGUAGGCGGCCUUCUAAGUCAGACGUGAAAUCCCCCGGCUUAACCUGGGAACUGCGUCUGAUACUGGGAGGCUUGAGUAUGGGAGAGGGAUGUAGAAUUCCAGGUGUAGCGGUGAAAUGCGUAGAUAUCUGGAGGAACACCGGUGGCGAAGGCGGUUCUCUGGGCAUUACCUGACGCUGAGGAGCGAAAGUGUGGGGAGCGAACAGG
RNAcentral lists this ribosomal RNA (253 nucleotides) under uncultured bacterium. RNAcentral describes it as "partial 16S ribosomal RNA". It matches the Rfam family "Bacterial small subunit ribosomal RNA", at positions 524 to 776 of the family's 1533-position model. The record is from RNAcentral.